Oreochromis niloticus (Nile tilapia) is the source of this 676-nucleotide long non-coding RNA. RefSeq lists it as uncharacterized. NCBI's taxonomy places the organism in Eukaryota, Metazoa, Chordata, Actinopteri, Cichliformes, Cichlidae. The transcript has 3 exons. The record is from RefSeq and is a predicted model, not a curated record.
UUAGACUCAUUAUAGACAUCUGGGGUCUGUUUCAGAAAGCGGGUUUAGAAAACUCAGAGUUAAAAAUGAUACUCAGGGUUGAGUAACCCCGAACUGUCCAACUCGGAAUAUUCGGUUUCAGAAAGGCUGAUAACAAUUAGUUCAAUCAACGCGGAGUUGCUUUAACCCCAAGUUAAGUGCGCGCACGAGGAUACAUAAAGCCCUGAUUAGUGGAGCACAGAUUAAGCAAGUCACCAUGGAGACGGAGGGAAAGAAGGCGCGGUCAAUGUAUUUUACAGCGCUUGAGGCAGAAAUUCUGAUGACAGUCACCUUUGCAGUGCUACUCAUUCAUUUAAUAAACUCUUUACCAUAAUGAAUUAUUUUGUAGUGAAGUUAUUUUCCUACUGAUUUUGCCUUCCCUCAGUCUUGGUUGUCUUUGAGAGCAUAAUGACAAUGAAGUGUAAGGUGAUUGGUAUAUGUUUGUUAAUUGCCAUUUGGUCCCUUGUAAGUUAUAAGUGACCUGUAUAAACCUCAUAUUCUAUCAGAUGGUGAUGGUGUACUGCAUCUGGUGCAGCCUCCUGUUGAGCCAGACCAACAUGCAGUUGAAAAUAAUGAAGAAACAUUGACAGCUGUUACAGAGGAGGAAGCAACAGAGACACUUUAUGAGAGUGAUGAUGGAAAUGCAGAGGAAGAGGGU